GCUUACUUGGUGGAAUUGGUAGACACGAUUGACUUAAAAUCAAUUCUUUAAGAGGUAUCGGUUCAAUUCCGAUAGUAAGUA
Molecule: transfer RNA, 81 nt
Filed under: Plasmodiophora brassicae
Lineage: Eukaryota; Endomyxa; Phytomyxea; Plasmodiophorida; Plasmodiophoridae
Rfam family: tRNA
About the family: Transfer RNA (tRNA) molecules are approximately 80 nucleotides in length. Their secondary structure includes four short double-helical elements and three loops (D, anti-codon, and T loops). Further hydrogen bonds mediate the characteristic L-shaped molecular structure. tRNAs have two regions of fundamental functional importance: the anti-codon, which is responsible for specific mRNA codon recognition, and the 3' end, to which the tRNAs corresponding amino acid is attached (by aminoacyl-tRNA synthetases). tRNAs cope with the degeneracy of the genetic code in two manners: having more than one tRNA (with a specific anti-codon) for a particular amino acid; and 'wobble' base-pairing, i.e. permitting non-standard base-pairing at the 3rd anti-codon position.
Source: RNAcentral